CGCGAGAGAUCACCGUCAGGCUCAUAACCUGAAGGUCAUAGGUUCAAAUCCUAUCCCCGCAACCA
RNAcentral lists this transfer RNA (65 nucleotides) under Bradyrhizobium betae. RNAcentral describes it as "tRNA-Met". It matches the Rfam family "tRNA", at positions 14 to 71 of the family's 71-position model. From Rfam's summary of the family: Transfer RNA (tRNA) molecules are approximately 80 nucleotides in length. Their secondary structure includes four short double-helical elements and three loops (D, anti-codon, and T loops). Lineage: Bacteria; Pseudomonadati; Pseudomonadota; Alphaproteobacteria; Hyphomicrobiales; Nitrobacteraceae. The record is from RNAcentral.